This 348-nucleotide unclassified non-coding RNA is filed under the name soil metagenome. RNAcentral's name for it is "partial contains 5.8S ribosomal RNA, internal transcribed spacer 2, and large subunit ribosomal RNA". The stretch from base 1 to 120 matches the Rfam family "5.8S ribosomal RNA", at positions 35 to 154 of the family's 154-position model. The record is from RNAcentral.
GAUGAAGAACGCAGCGAAAUGCGAUAAGUAAUGUGAAUUGCAGAAUUCAGUGAAUCAUCGAAUCUUUGAACGCAUAUUGCGCCCGCCAGUAUUCUGGCGGGCAUGCCUGUCUGAGCGUCAUUUCAACCCUCAUGCCCCUAGGGCGUGGUGUUGGGGAUCGGCCAAAGCCCGCGAGGGACGGCCGGCCCCUAAAUCUAGUGGCGGACCCGUCGUGGCCUCCUCUGCGAAGUAGUGAUAUUCCGCAUCGGAGAGCGACGAGCCCCUGCCGUUAAACCCCCAACUUUCCAAGGUUGACCUCAGAUCAGGUAGGAAUACCCGCUGAACUUAAGCAUAUCAAUAAGCGGAGGA